AAUGCUGACAUAAGUAACGAUAAAGCGGGUGAAAAGCCCGCUCGCCGGAAGACCAAGGGUUCCUGUCCAACGUUAAUCGGGGCAGGGUGAGUCGACCCCUAAGGCGAGGCCGAAAGGCGUAGUCGAUGGGAAACGGGUUAAUAUUCCCGUACUUGGUGUUACUGCGAAGGGGGGACGGAGAAGGCUAUGUUGGCCGGGCGACGGUUGUCCCGGUUUAAGCGUGUAGGCUGGUUUUCCAGGCAAAUCCGGAAAAUCAAGGCUGAGGCGUGACGACGAGGCACUACGGUGCUGAAGCAACAAAUGCCCUGCUUCCAGGAAAAGCCUCUAAGCAUCAGGUAACAUCAAAUCGUACCCCAAACCGACACAGGUGGUCAGGUAGAGAAUACCAAGGCGCUUGAGAGAACUCGGGUGAAGGAACUAGGCAAAAUGGUGCCGUAA
Molecule: ribosomal RNA, 438 nt
Filed under: Salmonella enterica subsp. enterica serovar Coeln
Lineage: Bacteria; Pseudomonadati; Pseudomonadota; Gammaproteobacteria; Enterobacterales; Enterobacteriaceae
Description: partial 23S ribosomal RNA
Rfam family: Bacterial large subunit ribosomal RNA
Source: RNAcentral